RNAcentral lists this ribosomal RNA (848 nucleotides) under uncultured Staphylococcus sp. Its description in RNAcentral is "bacterial SSU rRNA". It matches the Rfam family "Bacterial small subunit ribosomal RNA", at positions 65 to 894 of the family's 1533-position model. Lineage: Bacteria; Bacillati; Bacillota; Bacilli; Caryophanales; Staphylococcaceae. The record is from RNAcentral.
AGCGAACAGAUAAGGAGCUUGCUCCUUUGACGUUAGCGGCGGACGGGUGAGUAACACGUGGGUAACCUACCUAUAAGACUGGGACAACUUCGGGAAACCGGAGCUAAUACCGGAUAAUAUGUUGAACCGCAUGGUUCAAUAGUGAAAGAUGGUUUUGCUAUCACUUAUAGAUGGACCCGCGCCGUAUUAGCUAGCUGGUGAGGUAACGGCUCACCAAGGCAACGAUACGUAGCCGACCUGAGAGGGUGAUCGGCCACACUGGAACUGAGACACGGUCCAGACUCCUACGGGAGGCAGCAGUAGGGAAUCUUCCGCAAUGGGCGAAAGCCUGACGGAGCAACGCCGCGUGAGUGAUGAAGGUCUUAGGAUCGUAAAACUCUGUUAUUAGGGAAGAACAAACGUGUAAGUAACUGUGCACGUCUUGACGGUACCUAAUCAGAAAGCCACGGCUAACUACGCGCCAGCAGCCGCGGUAAUACGUAGGUGGCAAGCGUUAUCCGGAAUUAUUGGGCGUAAAGCGCGCGUAGGCGGUUUUUUAAGUCUGAUGUGAAAGCCCACGGCUCAACCGUGGAGGGUCAUUGGAAACUGGAAAACUUGAGUGCAGAAGAGGAAAGUGGAAUUCCAUGUGUAGCGGUGAAAUGCGCAGAGAUAUGGAGGAACACCAGUGGCGAAGGCGACUUUCUGGUCUGUAACUGACGCUGAUGUGCGAAAGCGUGGGGAUCAAACAGGAUUAGAUACCCUGGUAGUCCACGCCGUAAACGAUGAGUGCUAAGUGUUAGGGGGUUUCCGCCCCUUAGUGCUGCAGCUAACGCAUUAAGCACUCCGCCUGGGGAGUACGACCGCAAGUG